GACGAACGCUGGCGGCGUGCUUAACACAUGCAAGUCGAACGGAAAGGCCUGCUUUCCCUUGUGGAUUGCGGGUACUCGAGUGGCGAACGGGUGAGUAACACGUGAGUGAUCUGCCCCCAACUUGUGUAUAAGCCUGGGAAACUGGGUCUAAUUCCCGACAGGACUGCAGGGUGGUGCCUGUGGUGGAAAACGAUUUUCUAGUGGUUGGGGAUGAGCUCGCGGCCUAUCAGCUUGUUGGUGGGGUAAUGGCCUACCAAGGCGGCGACGGGUAGCCGGCCUUAGAGGGUGGACGGCCACAUUGGACCUGAGAUACGGCGAAGGCGACUACGGGAGGAAGCAGUGGGGAAGAUGCAGCAAGGGGCGGAAGACUGAUGCAGGGACGCCGAGUGGGGGAUGACGGCCUUCGGGUUGUAAACUCCUUUCGACAGAGAGGAAGCCACCUGGUUGGAAGGGUGGUGACGGUAGUGGUAGAAGAAGCACCGGCUAACUACGUG
This 494-nucleotide ribosomal RNA is filed under the name uncultured bacterium. Its description in RNAcentral is "partial 16S ribosomal RNA". It matches the Rfam family "Bacterial small subunit ribosomal RNA", at positions 28 to 507 of the family's 1533-position model. The record is from RNAcentral.